AUUGAACGCUGGCGGCAGGCCUAACACAUGCAAGUCGAGCGGAUGAAGGGAGCUUGCUCCUGGAUUCAGCGGCGGACGGGUGAGUAAUGCCUAGGAAUCUGCCUGGUAGUGGGGGAUAACGUCCGGAAACGGGCGCUAAUACCGCAUACGUCCUGAGGGAGAAAGUGGGGGAUCUUCGGACCUCACGCUAUCAGAUGAGCCUAGGUCGGAUUAGCUGGUUGGUUGGGUAAAGGCCUACCAAGGCGACGAUCCGUAACUGGUCUGAGAGGAUGAUCAGUCACACUGGAACUGAGACACGGUCCAGACUCCUACGGGAGGCAGCAGUGGGGAAUAUUGGACAAUGGGCGAAAGCCUGAUCCAGCCAUGCCGCGUGUGCGAAGAAGGUCUUCGGAUUGUAAAGCACUUUAAGUUGGGAGGAAGGGCAGUAAGUUAAUACCUUGCUGUUUUGACGUUACCAACAGAAUAAGCACCGGCUAACUUCGUG
RNAcentral lists this ribosomal RNA (484 nucleotides) under uncultured bacterium. Its description in RNAcentral is "partial 16S ribosomal RNA". It matches the Rfam family "Bacterial small subunit ribosomal RNA", at positions 30 to 507 of the family's 1533-position model. The record is from RNAcentral.